This 639-nucleotide ribosomal RNA is filed under the name uncultured Bacteroidales bacterium. RNAcentral describes it as "bacterial SSU rRNA". It matches the Rfam family "Bacterial small subunit ribosomal RNA", at positions 83 to 721 of the family's 1533-position model. The record is from RNAcentral. Lineage: Bacteria; Pseudomonadati; Bacteroidota; Bacteroidia; Bacteroidales.
CAUUGCUGGCGACCGGCGCACGGGUGAGUAACACGUAUCCAACCUGCCUUUUACUCGGGGAUAGGCUUUCGAAAGAAAGAUUAAUACCCGAUGGCAUAAUAUUUCCGCAUGGGAUUAUUAUUAAAGAAUUUCGGUAAAAGAUGGGGAUGCGUUCCAUUAGGCAGUUGGCGGGGUAACGGCCCACCAAACCUUCGAUGGAUAGGGGUUCUGAGAGGAAGGUCCCCCACAUUGGAACUGAGACACGGUCCAAACUCCUACGGGAGGCAGCAGUGAGGAAUAUUGGUCAAUGGACGGAAGCCUGAACCAGCCAAGUAGCGUGAAGGAUGACUGCCCUAUGGGUUGUAAACUUCUUUUAUAGGGGAAUAAAAUGAGCCACGUGUGGCUUUUUGUAUGUACCCUAUGAAUAAGGAUCGGCUAACUCCGUGCCAGCAGCCGCGGUAAUACGGAGGAUCCGAGCGUUAUCCGGAUUUAUUGGGUUUAAAGGGAGCGUAGGUGGACAUGUAAGUCAGUUGUGAAAGUUUGCGGCUCAACCGUAAAAUUGCAGUUGAUACUGUGUGUCUUGAGUACAGUAGAGGUGGGCGGAAUUCGUGGUGUAGCGGUGAAAUGCUUAGAUAUCACGAAGAACUCCGAUUGCGAAGG